This 1515-nucleotide long non-coding RNA is filed under the name Marmota monax (woodchuck). The record is from RNAcentral. Lineage: Eukaryota; Metazoa; Chordata; Mammalia; Rodentia; Sciuridae.
GAAAACUCAAGGGGCGAGGAGGCUGGUGAACCAGCUGGUGGGGCGUUCCUUUUCCCUUUCGUGCACCACCCCAUUUCCAGAGUGCGCGGCCGUCCCUUCCCAAAAUCUGAGGAUUUACAAUCAAGAGGAAAGAGGAGAGGUCCCCAGGCAGCCCUCCUGAAAGCUGAUUUUCUGGAGGCUGGAACUUGAGAGUUUCUUGAAGGGUGCAGGUGAGCGCAAGUACUAGUCCAUAGCGGUUGUGAAUGGCCUUGAAUUGCCCAAAGGAAGAAUAAGAAAAGUUAAAGUGAGAGAAAGGUUUUCUUGCUUCCCGGCGGUCCUAGAAAGGGAGAGAUCCUGAGCGCUGAGAGUGACUUACACUCCCCGGGGGCACAGCUAGGGCGUGAACGUGGUGGCUGCUGGACUUAGCAGCUGUCGGCAUCUGUGCGUUAUUGGGCAGGUGCAUAGCACGCGUGCGCGUUCAGAGUAGUUGUCCGACUCCACGGAGAUGCGACUGCAGCUUGCAAAAGGCAAUGAUCCUGCUACCCACCUCCCGGGGUCUGGAGCAGAGCCCAGAAGUCCAAUCUUCUGAAAGCUUGCGGUUGUCUUACGGUGUUACUGCCAGGAAGUCAUUUCAUCUUCUGUAACUGGACUCAGGGAGUUUAAAAAGCCUGAUCUCCCUUCUCUCAAAACUGACUGACUGUUGCCCCCACCUGGAAGAUAUUGAAAGCUAUUCACGAAGAAUAUAAACUACAGGCUUCCCCUUUCCCGUCUUUUUUCUUAAUUUCAUUUAAAAAAUAAUUUAUUUUUGAAUAGAUAAAUCUGGAAAUUUUUGUACAUUAAGAUUUCCAGAAAAGUUGUUAUAAGUGGUGACAUUUCUCUCAUACCUCUGAUUCAAACACAUUUUGAAAUUAAGAGCAGAAAAUAAAGGCUUGUUGGUAAUUGAUUCAAGUUUUUAUACUGUGAAACAACAUUAAGUGACUUCCAACUGUCUGAUAAAAUAUAAAAUAGUGCCCAAAGAUGAAGUUAACUGAUAGUCUUUCUUUGACUACCAAGACAUACAUAUAUAUAAGUACAUACAAACAUACAUACAUUAUACAUUUAUCAGAAAAGAUAUUAUUUUGAAUUUAGCUGUUUGCUGUUGUUGGAAUCAGUGAAAUAUUCACAUCUGGACACAUGAGAUGACAAAGAAUACAUAUUUGAUUUUGUAACUAAGAAGAUGAAAUUAUGAGUGUAUGUUGCAGGUGGGUUAGAUCCCUUUUUAAGGGGAUAAAAGGUUUCAAAUGUAUUUUAUAUGAAAACAUUCCCUGUUCCACAUUUUGGAAUUUGGAAUAAGAAAGUUUUCAUGUUUAAAAGUCACAGAAGAGACUGAGGGUGCUGUUAUCACUCGUGUAUUUAUGCAAGCUGCUUGCAUGAUAUCUUGUACUAUGCUAUUAACUGUACUUGAAUGGAUCAUUUGUAUCUAUCAUAUGAGUGAAGUAAUUUAUUGGCCAUCAAUAAGUGGUCUGGCUGCAUUUUAGGAACUACAAUAUGGUGUGU